AUUGAAUGGAUGGUAAAACUUCUUGUGCUAUCUUUCUUUCGGCAGAAGAUCACGUGCAGAUGUGAGUUUCUGUUAAAUCUUUACUUCACAAAGAAUGCAUUUGCAUACCAAUGAACUGAGUUCAAAGCAAAGCAUUUACACUUGGACAAAGCUCAAUCCUGUGAUAAACUUUGUAAUAGAUGACUGUCAAUAAUGUUCACCCUUCAUAACCACCAACAUGCCAAACA
Molecule: long non-coding RNA, 227 nt
Filed under: Mytilus galloprovincialis (Mediterranean mussel)
Lineage: Eukaryota; Metazoa; Mollusca; Bivalvia; Mytilida; Mytilidae
Source: RNAcentral